GACGAACGCUGGCGGCGUGCCUAAUACAUGCAAGUCGAGCGAAGUUUUUCUGGUGCUUGCACUAGAAAAACUUAGCGGCGAACGGGUGAGUAACACGUAAAGAACCUGCCUCAUAGACUGGGACAACUAUUGGAAACGAUAGCUAAUACCGGAUAACAGUAUUUCUCGCAUGAGAGAUAUUUAAAAGUUGGUUAUGCUAACACUAUGUGAUGGCUUUGCGGUGCAUUAGCUAGUUGGUGGGGUAAAGGCCCACCAAGGCGACGAUGCAUAGCCGACCUGAGAGGGUGAUCGGCCUCACUGGGACUGAGACACGGCCCAGACUCCUACGGGAGGCAGCAGUAGGGAAUCUUCCGCAAUGGGCGAAAGCCUGACGGAGCAACGCCGCGUGAGUGAAGAAGGAUUUCGGUUCGUAAAGCUCUGUUGUUAGGGAAGAAUGGAUAUGUAGUAACUAUACAUGUAAGAGACGGUACCUAACCAGAAAGCCACGGCUAACUACGUG
This 499-nucleotide ribosomal RNA is filed under the name uncultured bacterium. RNAcentral's name for it is "partial 16S ribosomal RNA". It matches the Rfam family "Bacterial small subunit ribosomal RNA", at positions 28 to 507 of the family's 1533-position model. The record is from RNAcentral.